GCCCGCCCGCGCCUGCGGCUGCCUGCGCCGGACUGGAGAGCGCGGAGGGCCGACCUGACCCGCCGAAAGGGCCUGAGGCGAGGGGAGCCCGGGUCCCGGGGCCUUGGGGAAGGACCCGCAGCCGCACGCCGGCCCCAAGUGCAAAGCAUUGACACGACCCCGAGCGGAGAGGGGGCGCCCUCCUUCUCCCGCGCCCAGAGGCCCGGCCGCUCUGGCCCGAGCCCCAGCCUGGCCUCCGACCCAGCUCCGGGUCGUGGCGCCGCCUGGGGGUCCCUGCGCCCCGGAAAGAGACAGCAGGCACUGGAAAGCGAGGCCGGUGGGCGGGCGAGUCGGGAGGCUCGGGCGGCCGAGGUCCGGGAGCGGAUCCCAGGUGGCGGGAGCUGGUGAGUGGAGCCAUGGCCGAGCCCUGCUGGGGCCGGCGCGGGCGGGAGCGGGACGCGGCCUUGCGCUGGGGAAACGCGGGGACCCCCUACCCGCGCCCGCCUUCACCGGAAGACUCGGAAGGAACCUGGAGUUCUCCGCAGGCCCGGGCCCCGCCCUGAGCUUUCCAGCGGCCGGGAGGAGCGGAUCCUCGGGGCCAGGAAGGUGAGCGCACCUUUCGCUGAGCACAGGGCGGCACCGCGCGGGCGGACCCCGGAUUCUCCACCCGCGACCCAACGAAUUUUCGCCCUAUCCGGUACCGGAGACGAAAGUCUCCUUCUUCCGAAAUACCGGCUUCCUCUCUUCGCCCUGCCAACCACUUUUUUAGUUUCUUCUCAUCUCUCGGAAGCGCACGUCUCCUAAGUUAAGGAGUGCUGAGUAACGCGUGAGGGAGUUGGGGUGUCUGCGAGCACCUGUGAUUGAAGCCCCCUCUUCUGUGAUCAGUCUUCGUUUUCUGUCUUCCGGCAGCCUCAGUUUCCCCCCCAUGAAGUGAUGGUGUGUGUGUGUGUGUGUGUGUGUGUGUGUGUGUGUGUGUGUGUGUCGGGCCCCGUGUGGUGCCCUCUGUGCGCAGCGAGAGCUAUAACUCAAGGUGUGCACGGGGAGAGUGAAGCGACCACGCACCUGCUUCCAAUCGGGCUCGGGCGCGAACACUCAGGCUGAUUCCUGAAGGUCGUUUUCUGAAGGAAAAGACAGAGCAUGCACUAGCCACGGGUGACAUUCCCACCCGUACAACCGCGUGGUGGGCGCGUACAUCCAACAUUGACCCAUGCAGGCGCCCGCCCACUGCGCACACCGGUCGCAGGGCACUUCGUUGUUGAACGUUGGGAGCAGCGUUUGAAGGCCGGAUCUCUCCUGGCAGUGCGGAUUCGGGACCGGCGGAAGCAGUAUGGCCUCUGCGACCGUUAUCCCUACUUUUCGGGGCCGACCCCAGGGCCCUCACAACUCCUCAUCACCGCAUAUGUGAGCGCCGCCCCCACAGGGUUUUCUCCACGACCUCGUUCUUGGCUAGGUCGCACCUCUCUUAGUACCUCCUCUCUGGCCAGAACGAAUCUUUGACUCCGAGCUGCGCAGUCUACGCAGACGGGGCAGGAUCCACUGCAGUUUUCCACAGGCAAAUACCUGCUGGCUCCACCUUAGGCGAGAUGUGGCCUCUCGGGGAGGGACCCGUUGUGGACACGUUUGCGCAGCCGGUGAGGUGACCAGAUAAUAACCAGGGCAGCUUUCCUUAGCCGGGAACCCAGGUACCGGCCUAGGAAUCCGUGAAUACAUUCGCAAAGUCGCGCGCGCGCGCGCGCGCGUGUGUGUGUGUGUGUGUGUGUGUGUGUGUGUAGACACAUACUUUUGUCCUUGUAAGAGUAUGUGUACAUCUAAAUGUGUGCGUUUUAGACAUUAGUCCAUUUCAUUAGUCCAUCCAUAGCUGGUCCAGGGGUCCGAGGCCUGAAGAGUUUGAAACACUCAGGCCUGGGUUAUUUGACCGAGAAACCUGGCGGCGACAGUGCAGCGGCUGCAUCUGGGGACGGCGACCCCACCUACAGUGGCACCGACCUUCCCUCUGGCUUUCCGGGGCUCUGUCCGGGCCAGGAUCCCACCACUCGCCCCGCCCCGCGGUCCCGCGAUCACCCUGAGGUCCUGCUGCAGCCGCUCUGAAGAGUCUGUAGCGACCCCCAGCCAAACUCUCCAGCUAGGAAUGCCCGAGGCUCACCGAAAGCUGGCGCUGGGGAGGCCUGGGAGGCCCUGGAGCGGCGCCGUGAGGCCUCCGCUGGGCCCCUCCCCCACCUAGGCCGGCCCCCUCCCCCUUCCCAGGAACCCCCUCCCCUGGCGGAGCCCCGGGGGCCGAGUGUGCGUGUUCCUUUAAGAGGCCCCGGGGGGCGCCUCGCGGGCCGCCCGGGGCUGGAGGGGGAGGGCGCGGGCGGGGGCGGCUGGCGCCAGGCGGCCGAGGCUCCACAACAAAGCUCCGGCCCCUGUCACUUCGCAUCGGCCAGGUCCCGCAGACAGGCGGGGGACGCGCGCUCGGCCGCCCCUCCCUCUCGCAGGCGGUCUCCGGCCAGGGCGUCGGGCGGGCUUGGGCUGGUGGCGCGCGGUCUGUGCGCCCCGCGCUUCCCGCAACAGUGAAAUGGGGCGGGAGCGGGGACGGCCUGGGCCGGGUGGGGCCGCGGUCCUGAGCCUGGCGUGGCUGCCCUUCCGUCCUCCGGCCCCGUCACCUCUCGCAGGGUUAAGGGGCACUGCUGGGACCUUCCCCGGGUUGAGCCUCCAGGUGGCAGGGGGUCCCCGCCGCUUCCUCCUCUGUGUGCAGGGCCGGGGUUGCGUGACCCCGCGGGCAGUGGGCAGCAGGAAGCUCGGGCUGUGCGGCCGCGUGGCAGAGCGGACGACGGACUUGCGUCCGAGUGACGGGGCGCGGGCUGCAGACUGGCUUAAGCCCUCGGUGGCAGACGAAUGUGCCCAGGCUAAGCUCAGGGGACGUGUGUGGCCCCGUGCUAUGGGCCCGCUGUGAGGGUGCCGCCAGGCCGUCGAUCACUGCCUGGACGUGAGGAGUGUGGUGGUGAAGGACACUCCCUGGACAGAGUCGCUUCCCAUCACGGCUUCCCCGCCGGACCGCACCUCCCGGAGCCCUGGCGCCAGCCAGCCCGGUUUAGCGGCCGGACCGGGCUCCCCCGCGGUCCCAGGUCUGGUUGGGGUGGGGGCCGCGGCCUCGGUGACCCCAGCCCGCAGCGGCCCGGCCCGUCCCGUCCACUUAAACAAAUUGCCGCUGACAGGCGCGCAGUCUCUCUGGAGCCGCCGCCCUCCCGUCGCCUCCCUCCCGUCCCAAUUAUCCCGCGCAGGGUGGGGCCAACUGGCUGGGAUGGGGCGGGGGACGCGGGGAGAGCGGGCGGCUCGACUCCCUCCUGGUCGCGGGGUGGCCCGGGGAAGCGUCUCCGCAGCCACGGCCUGUGUGGCCCCGUCCCUGGUCUUCCCGGGGGAUGCGAGGGCAAGGCCCAGCCUGGCAGCUGUGGGCCCUGGAAGGGCGUCGUUCUGCACCUAAGGGCGAGAUCACGCGGCCGAGAACCAAGGCCGCAUCCCGGAUGGACUUCGGGUGACUUUCCCGGAGUUCUGGGGAAUCCCCUAACCCGGGGAGCUGCAGACGACUCACUGGCCCCGGGCCGCGGUUCCGCGGGUGGCCGCUGUACGCUUGAGACACCUGGUCCGCAGAAGUCAGGUGCCCUGGCAGGAGGGACUGGCUUAUGCCACCCUGUGCAGGAUCGUCUUCUCAGCUUACAGAGCCUAGUGUGAUUCAACAACCCUCCAUCUCUGCCCCCAACAUGCCCAACUGAUCUGGUGGAGGGAACUGAAGAUGAAGGCCUCUCAGGCACCAUGGAUGGGAUGGGUGUGUGUGAAGGGGGCAGGGUCCCCAGGAGCUGCCCCAGGUCUGGCUGGACAGUUGCACGGGAAGUCCUGUUUGUGAACUCAACGUUUCCACGGCUUUUCCAUUAAACUUUACCCCAAAUCACACCUGGCUCUGUGGGUUUCCUUCCAUUCUCCAAGGCCUCCCUGGGGUCUCUGGGAAGUGUGGGCCAGGGAAGGGGGCAAAGGACUAGCAUUCGUCUCCUUCCUGCUCAAUGCACCAUUUUUUCUCCCUGUUCCUGUCUCUGUUGCCACUUACUUUAGGUCCGGAAGUGGUGGUGGUGGGGCGGGGGGACAAAAUCAGGAACGUGUCAUCUGAGGGUUCCGGCCAGGUUUCAUGAGAUACCCACCUUCACCUGACCACCCUUCCAUCUUCUGAGUUAAAAAGAGGCAAUUACAACAAGGUGCCCCCCAGAUGAGGCUUUGCCAGACUCUCCCCUUGACAGCAACCCACCAGCACAUGGCAAGCCCUGAUCCCCAGGGAGGAGGGUCCAACCCU
RNAcentral lists this long non-coding RNA (4297 nucleotides) under Homo sapiens (human). Its description in RNAcentral is "non-protein coding TBX2-AS1:26". The record is from RNAcentral. Lineage: Eukaryota; Metazoa; Chordata; Mammalia; Primates; Hominidae.